UGCCUGAGCCCUCCCCCUUCCCUCCACCCCAGCCAAUCGUUCGGAACCGGGAGCGCGACAAGCGCCUAGACCCGGGCUUUCUCUCGGCCGCGGGACCAGUUGCUUGUCGGUAACGCAGAAGAGGCAAAAUGAAGAAAGCGAAGACGAAGAGCAGCUCAAUGGGAACGAUUCGGGGGGUCUUCCCGGCUCCCAGCACCCCCAAGAAAAUGGCUGCCGGCAAUUCUCGCGAGAAUUAAGAAAGUCUCGCGAUGUCCCGGAGCCUGCUGGGAAGACACGUAGGAUUCGCGGAGAGCGAACGGAGGGAAAGAUCGAUGAUUUCAGAAACAGCAGGAGCCCCAGCUCAUCUUCUGAAACGGCUGUGGCGCGUCCGCUGGAACUAGCUCGGGGCCUGGAGCGCUCCGCGAGAGCCUCCCCGCCGGUGUGUGCGGGGGUUCCCCUGUGCUGCGCGGGUGUCUCCUCGGGGCACCUGUGCGGUGCACUACCGCAUUCUCCGUGUGCUGUGCUGUGGUUUGGGAAGCACAGGCUGGUCUGAUCUCACCCACUGAGACCUCCAGAGGAUUAGUAUCUUGUCCAAAAUCACUCGACUCGUUGGCAGAGCACUGAUAACCUAGGGAUGCUUCAAAGGAAAGGUGAGACAACCCUGACAGUUCGCAAAUAGUUUCCCGCCAUCCGAAACGUCGGGGCUUAUCCCUAGCUGACGGUAAGAAAAGUGUGUGCGUCUUUAAUUCUUUUCAUGGAGAGCGAUUCAGUCCCAGAUAGGGAAAUUACAUAGCUUCAGAAGACAGAGCCUUCAUGUCAGCAUCCCGAAUAAACGUCCCUUCUCCUGA
This is a long non-coding RNA of Myotis brandtii (Brandt's bat), 827 nucleotides long. RefSeq lists it as uncharacterized. NCBI's taxonomy places the organism in Eukaryota, Metazoa, Chordata, Mammalia, Chiroptera, Vespertilionidae. The transcript has 2 exons. The record is from RefSeq and is a predicted model, not a curated record.